Molecule: ribosomal RNA, 118 nt
Filed under: uncultured bacterium
Lineage: Bacteria
Description: partial 16S ribosomal RNA
Rfam family: Bacterial small subunit ribosomal RNA
Source: RNAcentral
UACGUUCCCGGGCCUUGUACACACCGCCCGUCACGUCACGAAAGUCGGUAACACCCGAAGCCGGUGGCCUAACCCUUCUGGGAGGGAGCCGUCGAAGGUGGGAUCGGCGAUUGGGACG